RNAcentral lists this ribosomal RNA (253 nucleotides) under uncultured bacterium. Its description in RNAcentral is "partial 16S ribosomal RNA". It matches the Rfam family "Bacterial small subunit ribosomal RNA", at positions 524 to 776 of the family's 1533-position model. The record is from RNAcentral.
UACGUAGGGACCAAGCGUUGUUCGGAUUUACUGGGCGGAAAGGGCGCGUAGGCGGCAAUUCAAGUCAGCUGUGAAAUCUCCGGGCUUAACUCGGAACGGUCAGCUGAUACUGCUUUGCUAGAGUGCGGAAGGGGCAAUCGGAAUUCUCGGUGUAGCGGUGAAAUGCGUAGAUAUCGAGAGGAACACCUGAGGUGAAGACGGGUUGCUGGGCCGACACUGACGCUGAGGCGCGAAAGCCAGGGUAGCAAACGGG